RNAcentral lists this ribosomal RNA (799 nucleotides) under uncultured bacterium. RNAcentral describes it as "SSU rRNA". It matches the Rfam family "Bacterial small subunit ribosomal RNA", at positions 56 to 853 of the family's 1533-position model. The record is from RNAcentral.
UGCAAGUCGGACGAGGCACUUUGUGCUUAGUGGCGAACGGGUGAGUAACACGUAUCUAACAUACCUUUUAGUGGGGGAUAACUGGUUGAAAAACUAGCUAAUACCGCAUAGGACAUUAUUAUCGCAUGAGAAAAUGUUUAAAGUUGCGUUUGCAACGCUUUAAGAUUGAGGUGCGGCAUAUCAGAUAGUUGGUGGGGUAAUGGCCUACCAAGUCUAUGACGUGUAGCUGUGCUGAGAGGCAAAACAGCCACAAUGGAACUGAGACACGGUCCAUACUUCUACGGGAGGCAGCAGUAGGGAAUUUUUCACAAUGGGCGCAAGCCUGAUGGAGCAAUCCCACGUGAACGAUGAAGGUUUUUCAAAUUGUAAAGUUCUUUUAUUGGGGACGAAUUGUAAAAAGAGGAAAUGCUUUUUAUUUGACUGUACCCUUUGAAUAAGUAUCGGCUAACUAUGUGCCAGCAGCCGCGGUAAUACAUAGGAUGCAAGCGUUAUCCGGAUUUACUGGGCGUAAAGCGAGCGCAGGCGGAUUUACAAGUCUGGUGUUAAAUACAGCUGCCUAACAGUUGUAUGCAUUGGAAACUGUAAGUCUAGAGUGCAGUAGAGAGUUUUGGAACUCCCAUGUGGAGCGGUGGAAUGCGUAGAUAUAUGGAAGAACACCAGAGGCGAAGGCGAAAACUUAGGCUGUUACUGACGCUUAGGCUCGAAAGUGUGGGGAGCAAAUAGGAUUAGAUACCCUAGUAGUCCACACCGUAAACGAUGGUAAUUAAAUCUUGGUACGGGAUGUAUCAGGAUUGCAGUU